Molecule: long non-coding RNA, 6103 nt
Filed under: Homo sapiens (human)
Lineage: Eukaryota; Metazoa; Chordata; Mammalia; Primates; Hominidae
Description: HSALNT0358774
Source: RNAcentral
UAAUGAUUUUAUUUAUUUUAACAUUUUAAAAUGUUUUCCUUUGGGGAAUUCUAAUUUAUAUAUCAAUAUUCAGGUAAUAUUUGCUGAAAACACAAACAGAGUCAAAAUGAUCUGCAUUCACAUUCUCAUUUUCUAUUAUAACAUAGAGACAACUACUUUAUUAUCUUUUUAGAAACUUUUGCAACUACUUUAGUUUCUUCCUAAUUUUAUAAAUUAAUCUAUCUCAAAAAACUUUGCCCAAAAGACUUAGUAAUAGCUGUCAACUUCAGAAAAACUAAAACUUUAAAGAUAACUUUUAGAAGGAAAAUGAAAUACAGAAAUAAUGUAUCUUAUUUACACUUAAUUAAAAAUAAUAUGAAUUGUCACUAUUUCCUAUGAAAACAUCUCAUGCCAAAUUUCUUUUAUUAAGCUAGGAUUUAAAAGAUAAUUUAGUUGAAACUGGUAGAAUCUUAGUAAAAUUAUAACAAUAAGAAAUUUUUAUAUUAUAUAUAAUAUAGAAUAAUCACAUUUAAUUCCACUUGUUAGUCUAUUCUGAUUCUUUAGCAAGUUGAUUCAUAAUUUGCCAACUUGGGUCAGAAAUAUUUUCUAUUCUUAGCUUUUGCUGUCAGCAGAGAUAAUAAUAAUAUAGAACCUGAACAACAAAGGAUUGUGUAUUGUUUCAAUUUAAUUAAAGUUGAUUCCCUGCUUUAAGAGAGACUCACAUUUUAUAUAUUUUUUUAUUAAAAAGAGAAUGUAGAUAUUUGCUUUUCCAAAUUUCCCAUAAGAUAAAGAAAACAUAUUUUUUCUUAAUUACACCCUUGCUAAGUCACGCUAGCUGCCUGACCUUGGACAAAAUUCUUAACCUCUUUGUGUCUCAUUUUCAAUAACUGUGAAUUAAAGAUGAUUAUUGUAGUAUAUUUCUCAAGGGAUUGUUGUGGGAAUUAAAUAAAAUAAUCCUCUAAAAUGCUUAGUACAGAUUCUGGAACAUAAUAAGCAGAAAAAAUUAAUAACUUAUUAUUUUUAUUUACUAUAUUAUAUGACAUACUUUUUCUUUAUGAUCUUCAGGGGAAUUUCUACUCAUCUUAAAAACAUAUAUAGAUAUUGAUCUGCGGAGAAAUAUAUCUCUGUUAUUUCAAGGUCUGUGGAUUACAUAAUGGUCAACUCUGAUUGAUUUACUGAUUGAUUCAAAAAAUUUUAAAGCAAAACUAAAAAUAUUGCAGCUAUGUUGGUUUUAACCAUUCUAAACUCUGAUGAAAUUUGCUUUCUGUUUGGUUUGUGACUAGGAAGCUAAACAUUAUUUAUUAGUAAUGAAAAUUUCUGGUGUCUAAAAAAAUUCAAGAGGAAAACCAUUAGAUUCUAUUACAAUUAAAUCUGUUAAGAUUUAAUUGCAAAUAUGUAGAUAGUGCAAAUAUGUCUUAGGGUACAAUUUUUGUUCUCAUUAAGUUACCCAUUUUACAUUUUGAGAACACUAACAGAUGAAAUACUUGUCAAAGAGAAGAUCUAAGAUGGUUUAAAGAAAAUAUUAAAUGAAAUCAAACUUACUUGUCAAGCUCCAUAGCACAACUUACAAGUCAUAAAUCGCACUCUGUAUGACAGCUACGGGAGGGAUCUGGGUAGUAAAACAAAAUGAUGGAUUUUAUCUUUCCUGUUUUUGAGUUAUUAAGAACUAGUUGAACUAUAGAAUGACGUGAAAGACUCACAUCAGGGAUGGGAGGUUAUUUGCAGAAACUCUUAUUUUCUUUAUCACAUUAAUGUCAAUAUUUGACAUUUCCAUACGACUAAUUAUUGAACUAAUUUUUGAUUUCUUAUGCCAACUGUUAAUAAUCCUCUUUUCAUCCAGAAAACAAUCACUUUUUGUCUAUCUGUAAAUUGACAUUUGUUAUGUUAAUUUGUUUUUGCUUAUUACAAGGAUUAUCUUUUAUUUACAACAAAGCAUUCACAGAUUGCCGUGACAGAUUUGUCUUCAAUCAAAUCUCAUAAACAUUAAUUGAAUUAUUGAAAGGAAUUUGUAAAUUAUUGUGUUUUUUCUAAAAUAGUAACAUCAGCGUGUAUAUUACGUUAAUUUUGUUUACAGUUUUUUGCUUCACAUUAACUAUAUUUAACUGAUUUUAACAGCCUUAGAUAACUCCAAAACAUCAAUUACUUUACUUGGAUUUAUUAAUUCAUUCAAAAAAUAUAUAUAUAAUGAGAAUCUAUUAUUUGCCAGGCACUGGGCUAGGCAAAGGUAAGAGUGAAUGGCAAAAUCAUGUUCUCCCUGUUUUCCUGUAAUAUAUUGUCUGGCUAAAGGCUGUGAAGGAAGAGUAAUGUGAAGGAAGAGUAUUCGAAGGAUAUAAGAAAAGGGAUCACACAAUUAACUGUAUGUAGGCUGUUCUUAGGGAAGAUUUCUUCUAGAGGUGGUACUUGGCCUUCAGUCAGAAGCAUGAUUUGAUAUUUGAUGUUAACCAGGUAAUUGAGGGGAUAAGGUGCUUUCUCAGCAGAAAAGACAUAGUAGGCAAAGUCUUUAAGUUAAAAGCAUAGUGAAAGCUCAAAACUAAAAGGAGGCUUGGGUGUCUGGACUCCAGAGACAGGAAGAGAGUUUAUAGAGUCUAGCAGAGAUAGCAGAGAAGACUUUAUCUUUUUUUUUUCUUUUUUUUUUUUUCUGUAGCAAACAUCUUUCCUGUGAAAAAUUCCCUCUCCUAGUACUUUAGUUCUGUGGAUCCAAAAUUUAUAGCAUUCUUCUACCACCACAGGGGCUCAUAUGACAUUAACAGACAAGACACUUUUCAGAAAGACAGGGAACUGUGGAAGUAAACCAGGGGUGACAUGGAUUAUCAAAUAUUGUGGAUCAGGUGAGCUCUAGGCUUCUCAAUGCAAGGUAAUUACCCUGCACUUUCAUCUAUUUUAUAAUAUUGCCUUUAUUUUUUUCCAUGAAAGAGUUAGGUUUGGAAAAACAAGAAAAACACGGUUAAAAUUAUUUCUCUAGUGAAUUGGUUGUGUUUAUAAAUCUUUAGCUUAGCUUGAGUCCCCCUUUGUGAAAUGUAUAAAUCCUUUUGAUACAUUAACAAACACUUGGAAAAUGACUUAACUUAUUAAGUUGAAUUCUCUAAUAUAAGGGUUAUAAGUGAAGGCUUAAUUAUUCAGCAUUACUGAAUUCAAUAUAUCUGCCCUUUCAGUUUGCCUAGGGUGACAAAUACAUUUCCCAUUACAGCUUGCCAAUGUAACACAGCCUUAUUUCAUUUUUGUUGUAAAUAGAAUCACAUUCUAAUAUGUUUUAGCUGAAAACAGCAAAGUAUAUAUUCAACUACUUCCCAAUAGGGAAAAUUUUUAAAAAAAGUUAUUUCUUUAGCCCAGAGCUUUAUUUUCCUUUUACAUAACAGAAAAAUACUUGGUGUGAAAUAAAACCUUCUUACACGUAAUGAGACCCCAUAGAAUUUUAAUGAAAGACAAUUGAAGACCCAUUUUUAAAUAAGCCAUUGGGAAGAAUUAAUAUAAUUAAGAAUAGAAAAAAACUAGAUAAAGUUACAAGAACAACCUAGGAACAUUUCUAUAUUUCUUCCUCAUUUUCUGGAGUUUUAAAAGAUGUUGAAACAUUUUGACAGCUAUAGAAAAUGACCUAGGGACAAAUAUACUCUCUAUUCCUGACAUAAAAUGAUAUGCUUAUUUUGUUUCUCAUAAAACUCAGCAUAAAACUAUAUACCUAAUAGUUAUUUAAAAGGAGUUCCUAAAAAUAAAUAUAUUCAUUAUUAAUAUGUGACAUGACUGAGUUACUUUUGAAAAACUACAAAUUAUUCAACAUACUUUAACGUAGGAUUUAGUAUCAAUAUGGUAUCCAUUUCUUGAUUCUGUUUUUCAUAGUGCACUUAAAUAUAUAUGUUAAUACUUUUGAAUAAGUGCAUUAUGCUAUGAAAUGUUUUAAUGAGAAAAAUGAAUCUAUACAAAGCAACUUCAUUUAUAUUUUGUUCCUGUCAUGUUACAUUGCUGAUAUUUUGUAUUAUACUAGACGACUCAUUUUUAAAUACAUAAUUGUAUAUGAAGUUCUCAAUGUUAAUGUCUGGAGGAUACAGAAUCAAAACAGAAGUUAAAAAAUUAAAAGUAAACUAUAUUUUGCAUAUGAAUAAGAAUAUUACAAAUACCAUAUUUAUAUACUAUGUUUAUAUAUCUUUACACUAUGCCAAAAGGUAUAUAUGGCAGAUAGAGAAAUAAUAUCUCUGCAUAAACAUAAAAUCAAGAUACGUAAUAUUUUAAAAUGUUUUUCAUUGAAGUGUAAUUGACAUAAACUGAACAUAUCCAGUGUAUUUUUAAAGUUUUGGCAUAUUGGUACACGAGAAAACACCAUGGCAAUCAAGAUCAUGAACAUAUUCACUUCCCUAAAGUUAUUUUGUGUCUUUAGUAAUCGCUUCUUCCCCUCUUCCCUACUCAAUCUCCAUGCAACUACUAAUCUAUUUCUGAUACUACAGAAUGGUUUACACUUGGUAGAAUUUUAUGUAAAUGGAGUCACACAAAAUCUAUUCUUUUUUGUCUGUCUUUUGCACUCAACAUAACUACUCUGACUUUCGCCUAUGUUGAUACUGGUAACAAUAGUUCAUUCUUUUUUUAAUAGAUUUUAUUUUUAGAACAAUUUUAGGUUUAUAGUAGAAACUAACAAAGCAGAGAGAAUUUCCAUACACUUUCUCCUACUCUCCAUGUUCUUUAUGAUUAAUAUCUUGAAUUAGUGUGGUACAUUCGUUAUAAUUGAUGCAUCAGUAUUGACAUUAUAAAUGAAAGUCCAUAAAUUAGUUUUAUAUUAGCGUUCACUCUUGACAUUAUACAUUUCAUGCGUUUGGACAAAUGCAUAUGUCAUGUAACCACUACUACAAUAUUAUAAGAAUAGUUUUACUUUCUUAAAAAUUUCUGUGCUUGAUUUAUUCAUCCCUUCCCUUGGAGACUACUGGAAAUUCUGAUCUUUUUACAGUUUUUCCCUUUUUAAGAAUGUUGUAUCAUUGGAAUUAUACAGUAUACAGCCUUUUCAGAUUAGCUUCUUUCACUAAGUUGUAGGCAUUUUAGGUUCUUGCAUGUUUUGUAUGGUUUGAUAGCUUAUUUUUUAAUCACUGAAUAUCCCAUUUUAUAGAUAUGCUAGUUUAUUGAACCAUUACUCACCUGUUGGCGGCAUCUGGUAGCUACCAAGUUUUGUUAUGAGAAAAGCUAUUUUAAGGAGUCAUGUGACUCAUUUGGAUAGGAAUGAAGUUUUUUUGACUCAUUUGGAUAGGAGUGAAAUAUUUUUGACUCAUUUGGAUAGGAGUGAAGUUACUGGUCCAUGUGGUAAGACUACAUUUAACUUUGUAAGAAACUGCAAAGCUAUCUUCUAACGUGGCUGUGCCAUUUUGCAUUCCCACAAGCAACAAAUGAGAGUUUCCCUUGCUCUUUAUCUUCAACACAAUUUAGUGUUUUCAGUGUUCUGGAUUUUAGCCAUUUUAGUAGGCAUGCGGUGGUAUCUCGUUCGAAUGAGCGAUUCUCUAAUAAUACAUGAUGUUGAGCAUAUUUCAUUCGCUUAUUUGCCAUCAAUAUAUUUUCCUCAGUGAAAUGUCUGUUCAGAUCUGCCCAUUUUUUAACUGGAUUAUUUAUCUUUUUUUUUCUUUUUGAGUUUCAAGAGUUCUGUGGCGUGCUCAUACCAGUUCUUUAUUGGAUACAUGUUUUGUAAAUAUUGUCUCCCAGUCUUGGCUUGUUUUUUAAAUAUUAACUAUGACUUUCUUAGAGCAGAAGUUUUAAUUUUUAUUAAAUUCAACUUAUAACAUUCUUCUAUAGUCUCACAUUUUUAUAUUUAAAUCUAUUAUCCAUUCUUGUACAUUGUGUAUACACAGUGUCUACAUUCUUUUUUUUGGAUGUGGAUGUCCAACUGUUCCAGUACCGUUUGUUGAAAAUAUGGUUUUGUGUGUGUGUGUGUGUGUGUGUGUGUGUGUGUGUGUGUGGUUAUAUCUCACGUUAUGAGUAUACAGUGUUUGGUUUAUUUAUUCACCCAUUGAUAAACUUUGGGUUGUUUACAGUUUAGUGUUAGUAUAAAUAAGUUUGUCAUGGCCACUUGCAAACACAUUCUUGUAUGUAUAUACGCUAUACUGUUUUCUGCUUAAAGAGCAACAGUAGAAUAAGUAGGUAAAAUGAUGGGGGUCUA